UCCUACACUGGAUCAUCUGUCCUC
This 24-nucleotide non-coding RNA is filed under the name Rattus norvegicus (Norway rat). The record is from RNAcentral. Lineage: Eukaryota; Metazoa; Chordata; Mammalia; Rodentia; Muridae.